This is a non-coding RNA of Pelodiscus sinensis (Chinese soft-shelled turtle), 586 nucleotides long. The record is from RefSeq and is a predicted model, not a curated record. Lineage: Eukaryota; Metazoa; Chordata; Testudines; Trionychidae.
GGGAGAGCAGCAGCAGCAGCCAGCGAUUGACAGUCUGCGCUGUUACACCCGUGUCUGUGUUACAAUUGCAUUAGAAAAGGCGAAGCAGGGUGGAACACGGUAAGAAACCCCCCUGCUUCUGUCUGUAUUCUGGGCACUAUCCAGGGGUUUGCCUGGUGGCUCACUGGCCGAGAAAGGGAACCUGUUGGUAAUAUUGACCUAGAUCAUAUAGAAGAUUCCUGCGGCUAAAAAUAAGAUGGUGCAUGUAUAUCUUAUAGAACAGAUAUUUGCUGUGAACUUUCCCCAGCAAAGAAUGAAAUCCCUCUUAUGAGGACAGAUGGAGAGUUAUGCAACUUCGGGAGGAUUAUGCAGAUGUGUAUAUGCGGUGAAGUCACCCAGUAGAUUACAAACUUGUGUAGUAGCAGCAGCACAGGGAGGGUUACUGAGAAGAUUGUAAGCAAAGCAGUUCUGGAGGUACCAGGAACCCAUGGAUUUCCUUUGAUUUUGUUUGGCUGUGGUAAAACAAUAACAACUGCAUGUGAAACUAAUUUUCUCCUUAGAAAUAAACCUUCCACAAGUUUCCCCAUCUCACACUUCCUUGCUUAUA